GAGAUUCUUUGGCUUUGGUGAUGAGUGAGAGCUGUCAGAAUCACAGGUGGGAGGAUGGAGAGAGGAAGGUUAUAUAAAAGAGAACUUAGUCACACCAAGACUGAAAACAGGCAGAAUCAUCCAAGAUCCACUUCUUCUAGACCCUUACUUCUUCUUUAUCAGACUGCUGGAAAAAAAAAGGAGGGGAAAGCCAGAGCAGAAAUAAUUGCUGGAGCUUCCAGUGAGCUGAGAGCCUGCAGGCAGAGAUCAACGCUCCUGAUUUCAUCCUCUUCCUUUUAUUUCUAUAACCUUAAACGUUCUGCUAUUAUAAAAGUCAUCAUGUCAGCUUUCUCCCCAGCCUCUCCGGCUGCCCAUUUUCAAAUUGUAUCAAUUGGUAAGGCUUUGGGGCUGUAGGAUUUUCAUCUUGAUUUAUGGUUCCUGUGCUUUUAAAGAUGAAGCAAACUCAACUAGCCCGACUCGGGCAUGGAGCCACGCUGUCCUGGAAACCGGAGGAGAGAGGCAUGGGGGAGCCUGACAGGAAGUGAGGAUUCUGGGACUUCAAAUACACACAUUAGAAAAAACAAGCAACAUCUGCAAACACGUUCAUGAAGGAAGAGCCUUGGCGUCAUUCAUGGGAGCUGAGAUGGUCCUAAAAGAGUGAACAGAACGAAGAGGAGCAGCUAUUACACAUGAUAUUUUCUGUUGAGAGCUUGCCUUGGUCUUCGACUCAUUCUCUUUAAUUAAUCAGGAGAGUAGUAGGAACUGCCAUCGCUCCUGCCUGGUCUAUUCCCUGCCUCCUGGUCCACUCCUGAGAGCCUUGGAGGAUGCAGCGGGCAGCCCAUCACUCAAGCAGAAGCAGCCCGAGUGACUUCACUGCAGAGGGACCUGGAGAUGGGUGGUCGGGGGCCCCAGGGAGGGAAGGUAUCUGCCCUCUUAAUGCAGACGAGGUCUCCAAACCUCUCCCGUGGGACUUGCCCGUGGCUGAGGACAAGGCUCUCUGAACUCUGGAGUUAGUCGGCUUUUUAGUUCGAGGCUUGGCACAAAGAUUUAUGUUCCUGGUGUGACCGUACUCACCAUCCAUCACGAUUAGUUACAAUAAAAUCUCUCUUCGUGUUUUUAAAAGCCCUUCGAGUUACAUUCCAUUAUGCAGUUAACAUAUCGCAGAUGGUCGGGCCAUUGUUCAACCAGGGAACCAUUUUUUGAUCUCUGAAGAGGAGGGCAGGGAACCAGCACUUGACCUCCCCAGAGGCCCUGGAAAUCCUGAGCCCGGAGUAGAGGAGAGAGAACAA
Molecule: long non-coding RNA, 1268 nt
Organism: Bos taurus (domestic cattle)
Lineage: Eukaryota; Metazoa; Chordata; Mammalia; Artiodactyla; Bovidae
Source: Ensembl